UACAGAGGGUGCAAGCGUUAAUCGGAAUUACUGGGCGUAAAGGGUGCGUAGGUGGACGCAUAAGUCGGAUGUGAAAUCCCUGGGCUUAACCUAGGAACUGCAUUCGAUACUGUGAGUCUAGAGUAUGGUAGAGGUAAGUGGAAUUUCCGGUGUAGCGGUGAAAUGCGUAGAUAUCGGAAGGAACAUCAGUGGCGAAGGCG
This 200-nucleotide ribosomal RNA is filed under the name uncultured bacterium. RNAcentral's name for it is "partial 16S ribosomal RNA". It matches the Rfam family "Bacterial small subunit ribosomal RNA", at positions 524 to 723 of the family's 1533-position model. The record is from RNAcentral.